CCUACGGGAGGCAGCAGUAAGGAAUAUUGGUCAAUGGGGGCAACCCUGAACCAGCCAUGCCGCGUGCAGGAAGACGGCCCUACGGGUUGUAAACUGCUUUUAUACGGGAAUAAACCUCUCUUCGUGAAGAGAGCUGAAUGUACUGUAAGAAUAAGGAUCGGCUAACUCCGUGCCAGCAGCCGCGGUAAUACGGAGGAUCCAAGCGUUAUCCGGAUUUAUUGGGUUUAAAGGGUGCGUAGGCGGCCUAUUAAGUCAGGGGUGAAAGACGGUGGCUCAACCAUCGCAGUGCCCUUGAUACUGAUGGGCUUGAUUACACUUGAGGUAGGCGGAAUGUGACAAGUAGCGGUGAAAUGCAUAGAUAUGUCACAGAACACCAAUUGCGAAGGCAGCUUACUAAGGUGUUAAUGACGCUGAGGCACGAAAGCGUGGGGAUCAAACAGGAUUAGAUACCCUGGUAGUCCACGCCCUAAACGAUGAAUACUCGAUGUUAGCGAUAUACAGUUAGCGUCAAAGCGAAAGCGUCAAGUAUUCCACCUGGGGAGUACGCCCGCAGGGUGAAACUCAAAGAGUAGUCGCGCGNGAGAGCGACGACGACGACGAGGAGGGAGGAG
RNAcentral lists this ribosomal RNA (611 nucleotides) under uncultured bacterium. RNAcentral's name for it is "bacterial SSU rRNA". It matches the Rfam family "Bacterial small subunit ribosomal RNA", at positions 338 to 1331 of the family's 1533-position model. The record is from RNAcentral.